RNAcentral lists this ribosomal RNA (484 nucleotides) under uncultured Micromonosporaceae bacterium. RNAcentral describes it as "partial 16S ribosomal RNA". The record is from RNAcentral. Lineage: Bacteria; Bacillati; Actinomycetota; Actinomycetes; Micromonosporales; Micromonosporaceae.
CACGUAGUUGGCCGGCGCUUCUUCUACAGGUACCGUCACUCACGCUUCGUCCCUGUCGAAAGAGGUUUACAACCCGAAGGCCGUCAUCCCUCACGCGGCGUCGCUGCAUCAGGCUUCCGCCCAUUGUGCAAUAUUCCCCACUGCUGCCUCCCGUAGGAGUCUGGGCCGUGUCCCAGUCCCAGUGUGGCCGGUCGCCCUCUCAGGCCGGCUACCCGUCGUCGCCUUGGUAGGCCAUCACCCCACCAACAAGCUGAUAGGCCGCGAGCCCAUCCCCUGACCGAAAAACUUUCCACACCCCAAGAUGCCCCGAGGCGUCAUAUCCGGUAUUAGCCCCCGUUUCCGAGGGUUAUCCCAAAGUCAGAGGCAGGUUGCUCACGUGUUACUCACCCGUUCGCCGCUCGAGUACCCCCGAAAGGGCCUUUCCGCUCGACUUGCAUGUGUUAAGCACGCCGCCAGCGUUCGUCCUGAGCCAGGAUCAAACUCU